AGUCUGUCCUAAUGCCAAAUGCAGAGCCUCAAGGGGCAAGCACCUUCCAAAUUGCAUCUUGGGGGCGAGAGACGAGGAGCUGGCCUGCAGCUUCAGGCACUCAUGCAGGGCUGCCCGCUCUGUUCUAGAUACAUCGUAUGUGCAUUAACAGCGACGUAGACCAGUGAGCUUAUAUUUCACACGUGUAAACUAGAGGAAGAUAUAAAAAAUAUCAAGUUGAGGAAUAAUACCUUCGUUAAGGGUAGCUUUAGCUUGUCCCCCUCAAAAUGCGGCCCAAUAUGGACAACACAACCACCAGUGUAAGUGCUGGAAAAUGUAACAUGUGUCAGCAGUGUAGUUAGGUUAGUCGUAUGAGGGAAAAUAGCUUCGUGAUCGUAGAGAAACAUGACAUGACAAACAAGAAACUUACCGGGAAAACAUUGUAUCCGUGAGAAGGGAAACUUCAGAGUCCAUUCUUCCCCGCUUGUUAAUGUCCUGAAUUACGUUCUCAUCAGUAUGCAUGACUGACCCU
RNAcentral lists this long non-coding RNA (511 nucleotides) under Triticum aestivum (bread wheat). RNAcentral describes it as "long non-coding RNA (TAES_LNC007311)". The record is from RNAcentral. Lineage: Eukaryota; Viridiplantae; Streptophyta; Magnoliopsida; Poales; Poaceae.